Molecule: long non-coding RNA, 202 nt
Filed under: Physcomitrium patens
Lineage: Eukaryota; Viridiplantae; Streptophyta; Bryopsida; Funariales; Funariaceae
Description: long non-coding RNA (PPAT_LNC012368)
Source: RNAcentral
AGACCUGAAUUGGUCGGGCGACCCAAUGCAGUCUCAUUUCGAGAAUCCAAUCCGGAUCCUCUUACUCAAUAUGAGACUUGUAAUGGUCGUGCAACCCAAUGCAGAGUAAUUACGGGAACAUCCAGGUUACUACGGGCAUCUUACCCAAUAUGAGACCUGCAUUGGUCGGGCAACCCAAUGCAGUCUGAUUACGGGAAAAUCC